AGUAACACGUAAACAACCUGCCUUCAGGAUGGGGACAACAGACGGAAACGACUGCUAAUACCGAAUAAGUUCCAAGAGCCGCAUGGCCCCAUGGAAGAAAAGGUGGCCUCUACCUGUAAGCUAUCGCCUGAAGAGGGGUUUGCGUCUGAUUAGCUGGUUGGAGGGGUAACGGCCCACCAAGGCGACGAUCAGUAGCCGGUCUGAGAGGUUGAACGGCCACACUGGAACUGAGACACGGUCCAGACUCCUACGGGAGGCAGCAUG
RNAcentral lists this ribosomal RNA (264 nucleotides) under uncultured bacterium. RNAcentral's name for it is "partial 16S ribosomal RNA". It matches the Rfam family "Bacterial small subunit ribosomal RNA", at positions 109 to 353 of the family's 1533-position model. The record is from RNAcentral.